This 1023-nucleotide ribosomal RNA is filed under the name Brevibacillus borstelensis. RNAcentral describes it as "bacterial SSU rRNA". It matches the Rfam family "Bacterial small subunit ribosomal RNA", at positions 126 to 1191 of the family's 1533-position model. The record is from RNAcentral. Lineage: Bacteria; Bacillati; Bacillota; Bacilli; Caryophanales; Paenibacillaceae.
CUGCCCGUAAACUCGGGAUAACAUGGGGAAACUCAUGCUAAUACCGGAUAGGGUCUUCUCUCGCAUGAGAGGAGACGGAAAGGUGGCGCAAGCUACCACUUACGGAUGGGCCUGCGGCGCAAUAGCUAGUUGGUGGGGUAACGGCCUACCAAGGCGACGAUGCGUAGCCGACCUGAGAGGGUGACCGGCCACACUGGGACUGAGACACGGCCCAGACUCCUACCGGAGGCAGCACUAGGGAAUUUUCCACAAUGGACGAAAGUCUGAUGGAGCAACGCCGCGUGAACGAUGAAGGUCUUCGGAUUGUAAAGUUCUGUUGUCAGAGACGAACAAGUACCGUUCGAACAGGGCGGUACCUUGACGGUACCUGACGAGAAAGCCACGGCUAACUACGUGCCAGCAGCCGCGGUAAUACGUAGGUGGCAAGCGUUGUCCGGAAUUAUUGGGCGUAAAGCGCGCGCAGGCGGCUAUGUAAGUCUGGUGUUAAAGCCCGGGGCUCAACCCCGGUUCGCAUCGGAAACUGUGUAACUUGAAUGCAGAAGAAGAAAGCGGUAUUCCACGUGUAGCGGUGAAAUGCGUAGAGAUGUGGAGGAACCCAGUGGCGAAAGCGGCUUUCUGGUCUGAACUGACGCUGAAGCGCGAAACGUGGGGAGCAAAAGGAUUAGAUACCCUGGUAGUCCCGCCGUAACGAUGACGCUAGUGUUUGGGGGUUCAUACCCUCGGUGCCGCACCUAAGCAUUAACACUCCCCCGGGGAAUACCUCGCAGAGUGAACUCCAGGAUUGACGGGGCCGCACAACGGGGAACAGUGGUUUAUUCCCAACAUCCUAAAAACUUACCGGGCCUUGACUUCCGGUGACGUCCAGAGAAAGGCUUCCUUCGGGCGCCGUUACGGGGGGGCAUGAUUUCGUCACUUUGUCGUAAAAGUUGGGUAAAUCCGUACUAAGCACCCUAACUUAAUGCCGCAUUAGUUGGCACUUUAAAUGCUGCGUGAAAAACGAAGAAGGCGGGAUAAGUCAAGAUC